Molecule: unclassified non-coding RNA, 200 nt
Filed under: uncultured Sebacina
Lineage: Eukaryota; Fungi; Basidiomycota; Agaricomycetes; Sebacinales; Sebacinaceae
Description: sequence contains ITS2
Source: RNAcentral
GUACUCUCACACUCCCAAUGCUUUUGGAUUGGGAGCGGUGGACUUGGGUGUUGCUGCUUUACUGUGGCUCGCCUCAAAUGGAGUAGUGCAACUCUCGGUUGGACAUAGUACGGCGUGAUAAGUGUCUUCGCCGGCGCCUCACUAGAGGGUGGCCGAUCGGGAGCUCUGUGCUUCAAACCGUCUUCGGACAAUAUCUGACA